AGGGAAUCUUCCACAAUGGACGAAAGUCUGAUGGAGCAACGCCGCGUGAGUGAAGAAGGUUUUCGGAUCGUAAAACUCUGUUGUUGGAGAAGAAUGUAUCUGAUAGUAACUGAUCAGGUAGUGACGGUAUCCAACCAGAAAGCCACGGCUAACUACGUGCCAGCAGCCGCGGUAAUACGUAGGUGGCAAGCGUUGUCCGGAUUUAUUGGGCGUAAAGCGAGCGCAGGCGGUUUUUUAAGUCUGAUGUGAAAGCCUUCGGCUCAACCGAAGAAGUGCAUCGGAAACUGGGAAACUUGAGUGCAGAAGAGGACAGUGGAACUCCAUGUGUAGCGGUGAAAUGCGUAGAUAUAUGGAAGAACACCAGUGGCGAAGGCGGCUGUCUGGUCUGUAACUGACGCUGAGGCUCGAAAGCAUGGGUAGCAAACAGGAUUAGAUACCCUGGUAGUCCAUGCCGUAAACGAUGAGUGCUAGGUGUUGGAGGGUUUCCGCCCUUCAGUGCCGCAGCUAACGCAUUAAGCACUCCGCCUGGGGAGUACGAUCGCAAGAUUGAAACUCAAAGGAAUUGACGGGGGCCCGCACAAGCGGUGGAGCAUGUGGUUUAAUUCGAAGCAACGCGAAGAACCUUACCAGGUCUUGACAUCUUCUGAAAAUCUUAGAGAUAAGACGUUCCCUUCGGGGACAGAAUGACAGGUGGUGCAUGGUUGUCGUCAGCUCGUGUCGUGAGAUGUUGGGUUAAGUC
This 739-nucleotide ribosomal RNA is filed under the name uncultured bacterium. RNAcentral describes it as "bacterial SSU rRNA". It matches the Rfam family "Bacterial small subunit ribosomal RNA", at positions 356 to 1086 of the family's 1533-position model. The record is from RNAcentral.